AGAGAAUCAAAUCAAUGAAGCAAAAGCGAUAGAUAUAGGCAUAUUCAAAAAAUCACGUAGUAAUCUUUUUUUUUUUUAACAUUCCCAAGAAGUAAACCAUUGAUAGUAGUUCCACGGGCAUCGAAAAGGAAGAGUAAACCUCACUGAUUUUUAACGCCUGAACCAUGAUAUGAAAUAAGUCGAUAAAGUCUAAAUCCAAUUUCCAAAAUUCGAAAGCGGUAAAUGCGCAAUAUGUGACUCACCUGACGAUCUUAUUCUACAUAGUAUCUCGUUAGACAACCACUAUGUUUAUAUCCUUUAUUUCUCAUACAAAGUGCGUAUACACUUAACAAAACCACUUCUUCUUUGAACAGUAAAGAGAGAAACAAAUAAAAUAAAAAAAGGGUCCGGCCCUCCUCAGUAUCACCUAGGAAGAGGCCAUUGAUUGGAAUAGAAAAUUUAGGAAGAAUUGGCUUCGAAUAAAUUUCCUGGGAUCCUCUUCCUUUCGAACUACAAACAUGGGAAUCGUUGAAAUAGCUCUUUGAUUGAAAGAGGAUGAUUCCUAUAAUACAUUACUCCAGUCGAGUCCAAUGGAAUUUCAAAAUGAAGAUGUUUUGAUUUUGUUCCAAACGUGUUGCAGAACC
This 623-nucleotide long non-coding RNA is filed under the name Solanum pimpinellifolium. RNAcentral's name for it is "long non-coding RNA (SPIM_LNC000075)". Lineage: Eukaryota; Viridiplantae; Streptophyta; Magnoliopsida; Solanales; Solanaceae. The record is from RNAcentral.